GAUAUUAUGAAAACAAUCACAAAACUCGAAGUUGUUAAUUUUAUCUUCUCACCAGUAUAUAGUAGUUAUAAUUAUAAAGUAAUCAAAUCAAACAUUUGAAAAUUUUACUUGUACGUGUAAGUCUAAUGUAUAAAGGUUAUUAAAGCCGACACUAAGUUCUUGGUUUUUCUAACUUUCGAGGCCAUACGGUUUCCUAUGAAUAUUUGUUUUUACUGCAUUUGCAUUUUGGGUGAAGGUUGUCUUAUUGGCAAUAAUAUCACAUAUUUUUC
RNAcentral lists this long non-coding RNA (269 nucleotides) under Mytilus galloprovincialis (Mediterranean mussel). The record is from RNAcentral. Lineage: Eukaryota; Metazoa; Mollusca; Bivalvia; Mytilida; Mytilidae.